Molecule: long non-coding RNA, 2521 nt
Filed under: Sus scrofa (pig)
Lineage: Eukaryota; Metazoa; Chordata; Mammalia; Artiodactyla; Suidae
Description: lncRNA (ENSSSCG00015068951.1)
Source: RNAcentral
CAGUCCAUGCACUUGACAGCCUUGCACUGCCUCUGCUUCCCCACCAAGGAAAAGCCCUCAAGAGCCUGCACAGCAAGACUGCAGCCAGGACCAUGACGUCAGUGCCACCCAGAAGCUGCUUGUCCUUCCAGAUCCUUCCAUGGGGAACAGAGGCUUUCAUUCCUCCAAUAGAGAUGCUGCUGAUGUGUGAACCAGAGCUUUGCAGCCUCUGUGUCCACCGGAUCAAGAGGUGUAUGAACAGACGGAUCCACGCAGGCCUCGGGCACGUGGACAGGGCUCAGAGCCACACUCCCCGCCCUGACCAGCCCCCUCUAGCCUUGGGUGGUGGUCACAGCGACAGUACAAACGUCACCAUUCCCUGUGACGGACAGGAAGUGAAGAUAGUCAGAGGGCAGCAGAUCGUCCUGGUGAGCAGAUUUUCAACAGCGUGAGUUCUGCCAGAGGCACCCCACCCCCUCAGCUUUUUAGCCAGCCCGUCACUACCUGCAGGAGGUGGGGCCAGGGUGCAGGGCCAGGGCUUUGGUGGAGAAAGAUUUGCAUAAAUCCAGCCAUCCCAGAAUCCUCCCUGGUCAAUUUUUUUUUUCCCCAUUCUUAUCCAAGAAGAGUCCAAGACUUUUAUCCAAGAGAAGAGUCUGCCUCAGCCAGCCUCAUGUCCUUCCUCUUCUCUGGCCCUGUGCUCGGAAUUCGGGAGCAGAUGUGGCAGCCUGUGACUGUGCCCUUUAGCCCUGGUGGCGGGGGACACCUCCCGUUACCAUUCAGCAGGAAGACUCCAGAACUGACAACCAGGCUUACCUCUGGCAGUUCCAUCAACAAAGUCCUCCUCCCCCCACAUUGAAGGGAUUAUUUUAAAAAUGAGAAUGUGAUAGAUUUUCUAAGCCAGAGCUAUAUUGCUUUCCCCCAAAGCAGUUUUCAAACAUUUCAAAAAUGUUAGCUAGUGAGUCCAAAAGCUCCUUUUAUUCUUUCUGUUUUCUCCCACUCUGAAAAUACACACACGUAGAUCUGUGUACACAGCACACUUGAAGGCAUAUUUUCCAGGAUGUAACUAACAAAGGGAAGAAUGUGGUGGUGGUUGGAAUUCUGGCGCUUGCAAGACAUGGGUCUGUGCUCUGCAUUUCAGUACAGAGGUGAUCACACUGUUAUGGGCAGAGCAUCUGCUCCCUUCACCUGCAGCCUCCACCCUCCUCUUCCUCUGCUCCCUGACCUGACCCGAGAGGCGUUUGAACUAACACGAUCAAGGUGUCGGGACCAGUAUCCCACCCUCCCGCCACCGUGCUUGGCAAGUUCCCAGGGCCUGCAAGUCACACACGGGCCAAGUCGUGGCCUCUUUCCAACAAAAUGGGUACAUGUCCAUGUCAGGCCCAUCUUGCUGCCCUUCAUUAUAACUGUGGUCAAGGAGAAAGGAGUAAGUAGGCUUGGGUACUACAAGGCAAAGCAAUAUUCGAAAGUUUAACAUAUGCUUAUUUUCUAAAAUGUAAGACCUCCAUGGUGAUUGGGGGACUUGGGUGCCCGUCUUCAAUUCUUGUGCCGCAAAGGCCGGGAGGAAACCAUCCCUUUCCCAGGUGCUCUGACCUUGGCCUUGGGAUGCGUGGGCCCACUCCCCAUGUACAGAGGCGGCAUCCUUUGCACAUGGCAGGGCUGUGUGGAGAAACGGGCCCCUGGUGCCUGGGACAUUCCUUCACAGAGGCUCUCCUAGCAACAUGGCGACGCCAGCCAACCCAACAAUGACCUUUUGUCUCUAGCUCUCCUCAGCUCUGUGGCCAUUAGUCUCACCAGAAAACUCAAAGGAUAUUUUGCAAGAGAAGAGUGGUUGCGAGCUAAAGCUCUGAAUCAGUUGCUUUCCUCUGCUUUCUGCAAAUAUCAAACUGGGCUUGCGCCAGAUGAUCGCUUUAGGAGCAGGAAGUACCCAGAGAGGUGCCCUGGAUGGGGGAAAGCUGAGUCUGGAUGGCCCGCGUCCUGGCUCUGGGUAGGGAAGCCCCUCUGUACCACAUCCCUGAACUGUCUGGACCUUAGUGUCCUCAUCUUCCAAAUGAAGCACUAAUUCUCAACAGCGCAGAGUCCUUGCUAACAGUCCAGAUUCCCGAGCUAACAGUAGUUCCCCUGCUGACUCAGAAUCUCUGGGACUGAGCUCUGCCAACGUGACUUUUCACCAAAGGCCAAUAUAGACCUUGCUGAACAAUUGUAAAAACGCUUAGGUAAUUAACUUUCUAAUUUUGUUUACUUGGCACGAGAGGACCAACACACACACACUCAGGAUUGGUAUGCUACAUGCAUUGUGGGGAAUGUGUUUUUUUUUUCUGAUAGAGUUUGCAAAGGACAGAACCAGCCCAUUUUCUUUGCUGUUCCUGGUUAGUUAUCUUCUAUACAAGAAUGUAAAUCAUGCCUCUCUAUCGGCAAAUCACUUUGGACUGUGUGCUUCCAAUAGAUACACUUUAAAAAUUUUGAUAUAUCUGUAUUUACUUAUAUUUUGCUUUAGUAUGAACAUGUUACGACUGUGUUCCUAAUGUUAAAAAAAUAAAUGUUU